This is a non-coding RNA of Kogia breviceps (pygmy sperm whale), 9897 nucleotides long. NCBI's taxonomy places the organism in Eukaryota, Metazoa, Chordata, Mammalia, Artiodactyla, Physeteridae. The record is from RefSeq and is a predicted model, not a curated record.
CCGGUCAGGAGACCCUGGUUCUGGGUGUACCAUUCCCUAUCUGUGUGCGUUUGUUUUGAUUACUUUAAUAAUACAAUAUCAUGAACUACUUAAAUAUGUACAUUUUAGCAAAUAACCCAUGUUCCCAUUACCCAAUGUGAGAAGUGAAACAUGACCAACAUAGUGGAAGCCCUGGAUGUCCCCCCUCCUUCCUUCAGUCAACCAUGUAAUAUUUUAGGCAGGUCACCUUUACCCUCUUCAGGUGUGGUGUUAGAACCUGUAACAGAAAGACAACAGCCGCCCUGCUUAGCUCACUGGGUUGUUAAUGAGAAUCAAAUGAGUGGUAUCUGUGAAGGCACUUGGAAAAUCUCGAGGUGCUGAGUUGAAGUCAGGAAGGAUUUGCCCAAGAGCUGAUGUAGUCGUGUCGGGUGCCAGCCUGCGUAGACACAGCUCAGGUGUUUGGGUGAGCCGUUUGGUGUAAAAGACUUGACUCCAUAUCUGCAUCUGCCCCCAUGCUGUCAUCCGGCGUAGAGACCCAGCCCGUUCCACUCGAUUCCUCCAUGUCUGCCGAGGUGCAGGAAUUAUACUCUGAACUCCCAAUGAGUGUCUCCAAAGAGCUUCAUGCUGACCCUGAGCCAAGUGCGAUUCCAGAUGUAAAACCUGGAGCCUCAAGCUCUCGUAUAAGUCAGAGUAGGGCAGUGCCCUUGGAGCUGCAGGCGACUCCUGUGGAAAGUUGUCGCGAAGAAACCCCUGAGACCUUGGACCAUGGGGGUGAGCCUGGGCGGUGUGGGCUGGUGGACCCCACAGCAGAAGGUUCUGUGGCUUCUGGGAUCUUGGAUAGGGAAGUGAAAGCCAAGAGCAUGGAGCAAAAGGUCUUCAGAGAUGGAGGGGACCAGGCGGAGAUUGUAAGAGACCCCUGUGAGGGAGCAAAGGAAGACACACGUCAAUAUUCCACAGCUGCUGAAGAGAAGCUCUGCCCCAGCCAGGAGGACCUCCUGAUGCAGGCAAGCAAAGAACAUCUAUGCACGGACCUCCCUGAAGAUGGUCUGAGGAACAAAGAAGGAAAUGUACAAAUUACAGCUGAAACUCUGCUAAAAUCUACUGAGGAAGUACAAGGUAUGAAGGUCAGUGGGACUAAGACGGAUAAUAAUGAAGGACACGAGAACGGCCAUGUGAGUAAAGGUCUCGCGGCUGGGUGCAGCGGAUACCCAGAAAUAGACAAAAUCAUGACCAGUGGUGAGGUUUCAGAGACUAGCACAUUAGUUUCCCUAGAGCCUUUAAACUCUGUGGACCCUGGAUUAAUAGAAGCAACUAAAGAAAAAGAAUGUGAAGAACUAAAAACCUGUCCUCCUUGGUUGUCAUUAUUACCAGGGAAGAGUGCCAUUUCCAAAGUGGACAAUGGAAAGGAAGAGUUGUGUACAUUAAACCCUGUCUGUGAAGCAGAUGACAAUCGCCAACAGGUUCCUGUCCACCGUAGUGAGAGACAUAGUUCUGCACGUGGUAGUCCCAAAGCCAUGAGAAAGGUGGUUAUUGUAGAACCUUUAGAAGAAAAUUCUGAAGUUUCACAUUUCACAUCAUGUUUGUCUGGUCCAGAAUCCAGAGCAACAUCCUCAGAAAAGUGUGGUUUUGAUGGUGAUAGCUUGCUAAAGGGAUCUGCUAAAAAGACAGACAAUUCCUGUUUUGAUGGGGAUGAUCAAAGCAAGAACUUGGCUUCUAGAGAAGAAAAUGAACAGCCUUUGAACCCCAGGAGUGAAAGAGAGGAACUCUUUCUUGUUAAUGCCAGGCAAGCAGAAGAGGAUGCUAGUGGUCACUAUUCUGGAAAAAAAGAGGCUGUUGACUUCCCCAAAGAAAAUAUCCACUAUCACUACUGCCCUCAAGGCAGUAUCCAUACAGACUUCUCUAGUUCUUUAAAGCCCAGUUCUUUUACUGAAGCCACGGAAAUAAUGUUUAAAAAAAAUGAUUUAAAAAUCACUUUAGACAUUCAGGAUAACUUGGCAAACCAUGAGGACCAUAGAGGAAUUUUUGCUAAUAUAAGCCAUCCAGGCACACACUCUGAAGAGAACCAUUUUUCCUUCUCGAUGCAGAUUGAAGAGCCAGAACAGACAACCACUGUAGAGCCUGGUAUGUUAAGUGAAAAGAUUUACAGUAAAGAUUCUAACUCCUUAGUCAGCACCCAGAGAAAUCUGGAAGGCAGCACCCAGUUAAAGGAAGCAUCACAUGACGGAUUUCUGACUGAAAGAAAAUCCCCUGUGAGUUUAACACCAGAGGGCCAGAUAAGUUCUAUAAAUGAGGUGUUGAAACCCAAGAAAGACAUUGUUCCGUUACUGCCAGCCCUAGAAUUUGAUGACAGACCUGACUUAGAAAUAGCUGUACAGAACUCCCAGGACGAUGGUCCCCAUUUAGAUAAACAGAGCACUGCAUGGGAGGUGAAUGAACUUCCUUAUGCCAACGAACUAGUUGUAAACAAAAUAGGAAGUGAUUGUGUUUUAAAUCAAGUGUCCCUUAAUUCUCAAAACCAUGCGAAGUUGCCAACUGACAAAGAGAUGCCUGUAGCAGCGAGCGAGGGCUUCCAACGGAGCCAGCACCCUCCAUCAGAGGAUGGAGCAUAUGGCACUGCUGGUACCCAGACUGUUCCUGUAAAGACAAAAAUGAAAGACAUCUCUCCACCAGGUGACAAAACCUGUGGUGCCUCUUCAAACAAUCCCACCUUAAACAGCAAAUCAGAAAGCCUAGAAAGAAAAACUGAAACAGCUGAUUUAGGAGUAGAAGGUCUGCAUUCCAGACUUCUCUCAAAUCAGAAAGAAGCAGGCUUGCCUCAAGAGGUCUCUGCCAUGGAAUGUCAAAGCAUUCAAUCUCGGGAUCUCUCUAGCUGCCCUUGUGUAAGAAAAAGCAUCCCAGAGGAGAGCGCGUGUUCUGCCCGUGGUGCCCUGGAGCCCAGCGAAACCAUUCUGGAAGUUGAAAACUGUCUGAUAACCAAGUAUGAAAAUGCAUUUCAGCACAGCGAUCACCGCCCCCAAGGGAGAGAAGCCUCCAUGGAAAGUUGCAUCCAUAAAGUGAGUUGUACAUCGGCGGAAAGUGAGCCAGAUGGGGGAGAAACUGAAGGCAACCUUCCAGGAGGUAAGAUCAGAAACGAAAUGACGGCAGGCAUGUUAACUAGUGAAACUCCAAACAGGACCAUCCACACCACCUGUCACAUCCAUCCCAGCGAGGAAGGGCUAGAAGAAAAAGAACAGGACACACCCAAAGAGACUGUGUUUUGUAAACGUAACAUCUGUGAUUGUGCCAUACAGGAAUUAAACCAACCUGCACACAUUCUAAGUCCUGAAAAAUCGUUGGACCAGUUUCCUACUGUUAUGUUCUCCGGUGUUAAAGACAUGAACCAAGCAGCUGAAACUCCUGAACAGAAGGCAGAUGAAGCCCUUGGCUGCCAGAGUAACCCAGACAGAUCCGAUGGAUGCAGAAGUGAAGAUAACCCAGCUAAGGAGACACUAGGCAGCAACCAGAGAGAGGUGGUCGCAGAGCCUAAUGGAGAGGUGAGCCACAGCCUGAAGGAUCUGCCAGUCAGUUCAGGCAAUAACAGCUCAUUGUUUGAUGGAAGCCUGAAGAAAGGGGCCUUUGAAAGGAUUUCUGGUUGUGAGGAGCCCAUAGAUGGUAUGGCAGACAUAGUCUCCACAGGCUGUAGUGAUAAGGGCACAGAAGGCAUUCUGGACAUAAGGGCUUCUAGUACUCUUGAUGGGGGUGCAAGGCAGGAUGGGCCAGCGUUACAGGAAACCUCAAGGAAUGUGCUGUCACAGAGGGUAGAGCCUAUUGCUGCAUUUAUGGGAAGAAUCGACCAGGAUUCAGAUUCCCAAGAUGCUACUUCCUCGACAGCAGACUCUCUCGAAAUUAAAAAAUCACAUGAAGAGAAAGUAUGCAGAUUGUUAAAAGACUGUGAAAUGGAGGUGUGUCCAGACUCUUGUGCCCCUGAGACAGGGUCUGUGGCAGAUCAUAAACCAAAUUUAAGAGUAUUGGAUAGAAUAAAUGUGUCUUUAAAUUAUAUUGAUCUUGAACAGCAAGCUAAAGAAGCAUCUCUGAGAGAAACACAAGGAAUGAUUGAAGGAUCAAGACUAGAAAUAAAUUCUGAGCACAACAAGGGAAAUGCCAUUGGAAUUUCCUCAGAAGAACUGACAUCUUCUGGACACCAAGAUGAGAACUCUGUUCCCCCGGGAAGCCUGAAAUCCACUGAGAUAAUGCCUUUGCAUCUGUUGUCUCAAGAAAAAUCAGAAACAAUUAUGAAUGGUGAGGAAACUGACCCGAAAAACCUUUUUAAACCAAAAGAUGGUGAAAUGCCCUGUGAGAACAUAAAGGACUGCAUGGUCCUGCCUGAGAUGAAAGGAAGAGCACCAAGGGAUAAGAGUAAUCCUAGCGAAGAAAGUGGCACAGCCCUCAUUGCGGAAAGUUUGCCUUUGACGAUGGAAACAGAAACCGAAGUGAAAAAAGAAGAAACUGCAGAACACCAGAGGGGACCACGGGGUCAGUUUCCUGCUGUGGAGGAGUCUGAAGAGAUGACUGUCAGAGAAGGUGUUCAUGGUGAUAACAUGAGCCAGGUGUCUCAGACCCAUCUUAAACCCCCGAGGAGUCUGUGUGAUGCUGAGGACCAACAGAGCCAGAAGGUUUUGGACUACAAGGAAGAGGAACAGAUGCAUCAAAAAGAAGCACAUGCGGCUUUGGAACGAUGCACAUCAUCUAAUAUGUUGUCAGAUGAGGCGCAAAGUAAGAGCCAACCUAAGGAUAGCAAAGCUGAGCCCACUGUGGUGAAAGAAAUCACCCUAGCAAAGCCAGCCACAGGUGACACUGCUGCAGGGUUUCAGAAGCUGAAAGACCCAAAGGAGGAAAGCUUGUGUUGCCCAUCAAAAAAGGACAUUGAGUCGUGUGCAGGCCCUUGCCUCCAUGAUGCCCCCCGGAAAGCACAAGACCCCAACUCCGCUGGGCGUGAUGAACUACAUGGUGCCUUUGGGAACACUUCACAUCAGAAAGGAGUGCUUCCCAUAAAGAAGCAGCCCCACCGAACGUGUAAGAAAGUUUCCUGCCAGGAGCUAGUCAACACAGGGAGGAAAAUAAGUAAAAUCAGAAAUUCUGCCUUUUUAAAGAGCUCCUCUGAAACCAUCCCCACAAACGCACAUAGAUUUCUCAGUUCACAUGCUGUGUCUGUACCUACGCAACCAGAAUCUGAAACAGCCCCUGCCAGGAGCCUUGUUAGCCACGUACCAAAGCAGAAGGCCACUCCAGGCCAGCCCUCGGGUAGCCUGUAUGUUCGGAAGCCUACCAAAGAAUCAGCCUUAUUCAGCAAGCUGUCCAUCCUUGCCUCCAGACUGGCCCCAGCCACAAAGACCCAGAAGCUACGGUAUCGACGGUGUUCCUCUGACCUUCUUCCAGUGGCUAAAAGCUACAAGUGGCUCAGAUACAAAAGACUCCUGGAUGGGUUUUCCUACAGCACAAUACAGCUGAAUCCAUGGUUGGCACGUAGUGAUUGGGACAGGAGGCCUAACAGUAAACCCUUGACGCUUUAUUCGCUUGAAGCCAUCAAAAUGAGCUUCAUAGAUUUGAGCGACAAGAUGCCAUCCCUGUUGUUUGGUUCCGAAAUCUUCCCAGUAUCCUUUCACGUGAAGUCGGGCUCCGAGUGUGGGACCGAGUCCCCAAGAACUUUUCCCGAGCACUGUGCACCCACGAGGCUCGCCUUAGGAGAGGCCCACCGGUGCCCGUCUUCACCUCCCAAGUGGACCUUCUCUUUCUUCUUGGCCCACGACUGCCCUGGGGUGGCCACGUUCAGGGAAGACCCUGGCAUCUAUUGUCAAGCAGGCGCCGAGCCUCCACUGCAGCCUCCAGUUCCUCUCCAAGACCAUGGAGCCACCGCCAUAGUCCAGACCAGAGCAGGCUGCUCCAUCCUUGGCCUUCACACACUCCUAGCACUUUGUUCCCCAGGAUGUUACCGAAUCUGGACGAAAAAACAGAGCUGCUCCAGCCACAUGCCCACCAUGCAGAGGCUCUUCCUGACCCAGUUUAUCCAGGGUCUGAAAGGGUUACGGUCUCCCACCUCCAUAGCAGACAAGGUCUUCUGUUCUCUGCCCUACUCAGUGGGCCGAGUACUGUCCAUUUGGAGCCAGCACGGGCCUUCUGCCUGCCCCUUCGAAAUCUCUGCUCUUCAUUCCUCUCACAGCAAGCGGCAGCCACCUCUGGGCACCAUGAGCAGCCACACUGCAUUACCGUCCAUGCCUCUUCCGGGCCUGGAAGCUGCUUACAGCACCAGCGGCAGUCAUGUGAGGCUAGAGCCUCCAUUCCCUGCCUUGGUACCAAAGUCUCGCUUGGUAACAGACUCAGCUGUCAGCAAGCUCCUGCUUUCAGCCUCCGAGUUCCCGGUUCCUGGAUUUGAUGAGCUGGAUGGUGUGACAGCCCCAUGCCCCCGACCGCAGAGCAGCCCCCCAGAACAGAAAGAGACUGAGCCAGAGAAGAGGCCAAAGAAGGUCUCACAGAUUCGCAUCCGGAAAACCAUUCCUAAGCCAGACCCUAACCUUACCCCCAUGGGCCUUCCUCGACCCAAAAGGUUAAAGAAAAAGGAGUUUAGUUUAGAAGAAAUAUAUACCAACAAGAAUUAUAAAUCUCCUCCUGCAAACAGGUGUUUAGAGACCAUCUUUGAGGAACCUAAGGAACGGAAUGGUACGCUCAUCUCAAUCAGCCAACAGAAGAGGAAGCGAGUUCUGGAGUUUCAGGAUUUCACAGUCCCACGGAAGAGGAGGGCUCGUGAAACUGAUGGAACUGGAGACCUUCUUUGCCAAGGAAGAGGAGGAGCAGGAGCGGUCGUCCGGUUGUUGAGAAGCGAUUCAGGUGGGGGGGUCUCAACUUUAGACUUUCCCGGCCUCCUUGGAAGAGGUUGCCUAAUUUUGCCCUACCGCCCAAACCACUCAGAAUUCAGACUAUGGAUUUUUACCUGUUUCAAGGUGCAGCCUUUUUAGGAACUGGUGAAAGAGGGUCCUCUAACUUGUACUGCUGAGUAUAGAACCUCAGGAACGCUCCCUUUCUCCUGGAAAUGGUCCUGAAUGAUGUCAGCCUCCUCCCCACACUCUCUGCCAUCCACGGAGGAGGACACCAUAUACCUUCAGUAACACUAGGUUUCCAAGGACUCACAGCAUUUGCACGUCCAUGUGAAAGUUCCACGUCGUUUACGGUGGUGCUAGACCAAGAUUAUUUAGACAUGUGGCCUAGGGAGGGGGACCUGGCGUCCUGUCCCAUGUGGUCUCACCAGCUCAUUUUAGUAGUUGAGGAAAGAUGAGCUGCUGUGUUUUCUAAUCCUUUGAGUCCAUCUGUCCAGAACCGUGUGUGUGUGUGUGUGUGUGUGUGUGUGUGUGUGUGUGUGUGUGUGUGUGUGUGGCUUUUCCCCAUCAUUUUCUCCCCUCUGUGACUGUGGGUCACCAGUGCCAGAAGAGCCCGUCCAGGCCCCAUUCGAAAGUGCAGAGAAUUAACAUUCCUUGGCUGGUGAGUGGGAUGCUAAGCCCAGCCUCAGGACACUGGUCACCUCUUCCAUCCUCCCAGGAACCACUGCCACGGAGCAGCGCCAAUGGGAACUGUCAAAGCUCCAGAGACAUUUUCAAGUCAGUCUGUGAGAGGAGUUGACAGUCUGUGCCACACUGGAGCAGAAAAACUGACAGUGCGAGAAAAACGAAGUGCCACGUCUGUCUUGUAGGCGCACUGCCUCAGACAGAGCAUUUAGUAAGUGAAAUACACACCUGGUGAUCCAUGGAGGCUUCUAAGGCCACAGCCACGUAGCAUUAGAGGGGAGCCCGGCUUCCGCACCAGCUCUGAACAAUGCAAACCAGAUGCUGCCAUUGUGCAUUCGCUUUGCCCAGACUGUAGACAUGACCUGUAUUUCCCCUCAAUACCUCUCCCUUCCUGGGACGGGGUCCUUAGACACAAAUGCUUCUCUCUGUCUUUUAGCUUAAGGGAGUGGGAUGAGUUUGUGCCCUUGUACAAACGUUUUUAGGAAGCUCCUGCUGCACAGCUUGCAAACUCCCAGCGAAUCUACAGAGCCCUGUUUGCCAGCUCCAUUGCCAGUGUAGACAGGUCUGCAACGUGGCAAGCGUGGCAGACUGAAGUUGACUUGGGUGCAGCUGUGGCAUCACCAACAUUACGGAGAUACAAUUUCAAGUUUGCCUGUUGCAGGAGUGGCACUUGUCAGGGCCCGGAGCAAUGAUUUGGAACAUUGGUGUUUGGAAUGGGGGCUUGGAGGAAGUGGAGACCUGGGUUCCUUCCUUGUCCUGGGAACAUAGGAAAAAGCUCCACUGAGGCCAGCCCUCUCCUUGUAAUUCUUGGCUUGCAUCUGGCCAAGGCCCUUCCUCAUUCCAAAGUUAGGAAGGGGCCCACUGCAAACUUGAAAUUGCUUACCUGAAGUUGCCACAUCGGGUUCUAGCCGUGUUCAGCCUGUCUGAACAUCCAUUUUUACCAUUGGCCUAGCCAGCUGUAGUGCUGUCUGUGGUCCUCGGAGCCAGCCACCUGCCCAUAGCUACAGGAGGUCUGGUUCUGGGGUGGGAGUUGGUACAGUUUCUGAGUAUAUGGGGACUUACCACCCAAAGACACUUAGUGUUUUUAAUAUGGGAAAGAGAGGAGAAAUCUCAGGUCCAAUCAGGGUUCUGCACGUCAGCUUUUCACUGAAACUUUGAAUUAUAGUGUUUUCCAUUUGUCAGUUUAUAGCUAUAUUUGCCCCCUCACCUUCCCCCUCCUCUUUUCUUUUGGUUUCCUUUCCAGCUUCAUUUCUCUAUUAAUUUAAAUGUACCUCAUCACCUGUUCAAGCUGAUUAUGUCCACUUUUUUUUACUGACCUUAUUCUAAGAGCUACAGCUGAGGGAGGUACGGUGGAGAGACAUACAGCGUUUGCCUUACUCGGAGCCUGAAGAGCUCAGAAACUCAUGCUGUGAAUCCUGAAACAGCGCUCCUCCAAGAGCUGUGAAAAUCAUGACACUUUGUCACAAUUUUGCCUGAAAGGGUCUUUUGCGCGAGUGCCAGAGCCAACCUGAGGUAGAUUCCAGAUCCCACCCUCUGGGCAUGAUCCUCCCCCUGUGGCUGGUUCCCUGUCCGCCAGGCUAAGGGCUGCACAGAGUGCAGGACUGGGUCUGCCGGUCCAAGGCUUCGUGCGGCCUGAUGGAACACAGAGCCAGUACUCCGUCUCCAGGCUGGGAUUUCAUAUCAUAAUGUACAUCAAGAUCUGCGAAAGACCAACUUUUAGACGGUGGUACUUUUCUCCCAUUCCCUGGAGGCAGAGUAUGCAGUUGGUGCUUUCUUUAAUUCCCUUGUGUUCUGUUUUUGUAAGCUUCCCCGACCCCGGUAUCACGGAAAGGACCUCUGAAACACCACAUCGUGGGUGGCUGUAUCCAAAGUCUUUAAGUAGUUGGCCAGAGCUGCGGAGUAUCCUUUCCUGGAUUCAUGCGAGGGAAGGGCUCCUUGCCAUGACUGAACUUCCUGUAUAAAAAGCUGGCCGGGAAGAAGGCUUAAUUUACUGAAAUCAAAGUUUAGUACUAUCAUCUAGCCACAAAUUGAGCAGCAAAGGCUAUUUAUUUUUAUUGUGAAGUGAGGGUCCCCGCAUAGCCUGCCAUCUAGCACAGCACUCUCAGAUUGGAUGCUUGUUCAUUGUGUGUCUCCACGAGCCCCUCUCUGGUGCUGAAUCGGAUUUUAAUUCUUGGCAAGAGGCCUCAGCAUCUCCUUGGGCUGGUCUAGGCCAGUAAAUAGCUGCCUGAAGUGUUUGUAUAUUAUCAUGGUCAAUAGUUCAGUGAAAUUUGUACAUUUUUGGUAACAUUGGCAUACAUGAUGCACCUGCAGUUUCUUUUCUGUUUGGUAGUUUGUGACUAAAAUUCCCACUGUUAUGUGUGUUAAUUUAUGAAAAUAAAAAGGAAUU